UAUUACCUGAAAUAUACAUUAUGUUCACAGAGCGUGCAUAUAUAAGAUAAAUAAAUAUCUUACAUCUUCUCUAUUAUCUGUAUAAUAAAUACCUCCCAUAGUAACGUAAUUAAGAAAGGUCCAUUAGCUCAAAUAGUGGAAGUUUUAAAAACAAAGCUUAGUUACAAAGGCAGAGCAGUUUAGGGAAAAAAAAACACACUUCUAAUGCUUGCUUUUUUCAUGUCUACUCAGUAAGUCCUGUUAAGGAAGCUAGAAUUCACCACCCAGUUAAGAGAGAGAUUUGUUCAGUAUCUCAUAUGACCAACAACACAAUUUAAUAUACUGUGAAUUUUAGAAUCUCAAUUAAUCCAUAAUGCCGGAAGUCAAAGUAUGUAUCUCAUAGGAAAAUGUUCCCUGUUCUAUGAAAUCACUUAUCUUAAAUGGUAGGUAGCAUACAGGAGAAUCUGUUCCAUUAAGUAAAUUUUUGUUCCAUUAAGUAAUUUUUGGUACCAGAUAAUCUGCUUGGAAUUUGUAUAACAAAAUUGAUUUUAGACAUAGUUUAGAUGUGGCUUCCUAUACUUGAGAGUCCUAAACCCACUUGGUUAGAGGCUGGUGUAUACUUUUAAAAGCCUGCACUUUUCACUACAGAGAUAAAAGAUCAAAAAGAAGGGGACAGAAUUAACCAUACUAAGUGCUUUAGAGACAUAAUUGCAGUAAAUUCUCAAGAUAAUCCUAUGAGGUAGUAAUGGUAGUAACUAAAAAUAGCAGACUUUAAGUGUUUACUAUGAGUUAGGCACAGUUCUAUGUGCCUCACCGUUAACUCAUCUAAUCCUUAUGACAAUCCCAUUAGGGUAGAUAGUGUUAUUAUCCUCACUUUAGAGAGAAAGAAACGGAGACACAGAGAGGUUGACCUAGGCAGUCUUUCACUACACUUGACAUUCUUAGUAGACUAUGUUGCCUUUAAUAGGUGUAAUUAUACUACAUUUUAUAGAUGAGGAAACUGUUGAGCCCAAGAUUACACAAUGGAUAAACUGCAGAGCCAAUAUUUACCUAUCUGAUUCCAAAGCCCAGGCUAUCUCCAGUACAUUGUGUUAACUCUGUUUACUUAUAAGAGUUGGAGUGAACUAGAAUAUACAAUAGCCAGUAACAGCACUGCUUUUAGUGAACUUUUAAUUCAGGAAUAAGUGAUUGGAAGAUUUCUUCAUGAGAUAAAGCAGUUGACCUCUGAGCAGAUGUUGAAUGAUGAAUAUUUUCUGGGGAUAUUGCCCACCAAUUUAGAGGAGUCACCCAUUUGGUAGUUCUAAUUGUGAAUGAGUGAUUGAGUUACUACCAAGGCAAAAAUUGAAAGAUAGAUAGCAUUCCAGUUAUCUAUUGCUGUGUAAUGAACUAUCCUAAACCUUAGUGACUUAAAACAGCAACUACUUUAUAUAUCGCAUGAUGUUGUGAAUCAGAAAUUCAGGAAAGGCUUGUCUAGGCAAUUUCUUGCUCCCUGUGGUAACAGCUCAGGUCACCUGGUAGUAUUCAGCAGGUGGCUGGACCAGUCAGGAGUGUCCAAGAUGAUCUCACAUUCCUGACACCUUGGUAGGGAGGGCUAGAAGAAUAGGCCCAGCAGGCCUCCUCUCCCUCUCUGGAGUCUCAGGGACUCUCUAUCUGAUCUCUCCAUCAUAGUAGUCAGAGUUAUGAAAUGGCAGCUCAGGCCUCCAAGAGGCUGGGCAGAGGAUGCCAGUCCUCUUCAAGGCCAGGCCCAGAGCUAUCACAGAGUUAUCACCAUACACUAUUGGUCAAAGACUGGUCAGCCCAGAUUCAAGGGGAGAGGAAAUACCUUACCACUUGAUGGAAGAUGUGUCAAGGAUUUGGGGCCAACUUUAAUCUGUUAUAGGUAGCAUGAGGUUUUUUUGAUUUGUCUUAACUCUUGUGUGUUCAUUUAGGUCAGUUGUUUGUGCCAUAGAAACCAUUUCUUAUAUCUACCAUGGGUCAGUAAAGGAGCUAGAAGGAGAAUGAGACAAAUACCUGGAACAGAUUUCUUUAGCUUCCCACCCCCUGAGUUUCAUUUAUAUUAUAGCAAAAUUUCCAUUUUUUCUUUUGUUCCAAGUUCCAAAUUGUGAGCAUUUGCCGUUUUUUUUUUUUUUUUUUCCUGUGAAGCCACAGUAACUGUCUAUGCUAAACCAGAAAUACUCUAGAGGGAAUAGAAAGCUUGCUGUUACAGACCUUGAUUUAUUAGAGAUGUCAGCUGUAUUUAAUUUACAAAUAGGCAAGAACUCCUGUGGUAUGGAAAAUUUAUAUGGCUGCUAAAUCUGUUUCAACAGGAGUUUCUAUUGAGUGGCUAGAUGGAUUAUAUUCUUGAGAUGAUUGCAAGUUUUGCCUACAUAUCCUACACAUCUUUACUGCCACCACACCACCUCUGGCACAAAUUUGUGCUAGGAGAAUAGGUUCAUUCCAUUUAUAUUACCUUCCAUAUGGGAAAAUCCGUUGCCCAGUUUUAUAGUUGUUAAUCUUUUAAAAUUAUCAGUUGCUAUCAGCUUCUGUUAUAUAGAAUAACAAAUCAUUGAAUUUUUACAAUUUUUGGUUAGACUUGUCAAAUUUAGGAUGCUUUAUUUAAAUUCCUGCUGGCUUAUAAAUGGACUUUUUUUGCCUUCAGAAGAAAUAAUGGCAGAGAAUGGAUUCUGCUCUAAAAAUGAUCAUCCCCAAAUGAAUACACUUUCUAAGAGAAGAAAGGUUUGGUAUUAUCUAUCCAUUCCAUGUAUAGUGGUUUCCUAGAGAAUUAGUUGUGAGGGCUUCUUGCUGGUCAUCCCCAAUUAUCAUAUAGUGAAGAGAUCUCUGUUCCCCGGUCAGGCCUCAGGAAUUACAAAUACAGGAUAUAAAAGGGGUACUCAGGGCUGAAGACUUAAUUUAGGACUCUAGAAAAUUCUGGGAAGAGAAAAGAAAGACUUCGGCAUUUGUAGUUGAAUAACCAGGGUUGGAAUGUUUGACUCAUUUAGGCAUCAGGAUUAAUUAGAUUUUAUCAUAUAAUGAUUGGGGCAAAUUUUGAUGAAUAAAAAUAAAAUAGUCUUAACAUUUUCUUUUUUAUCCAUAUUUCCACUCUGCUGUACCUCAAAGUCUGCUCUUUGUGACAGAGAAGUCUUUGAAAAUAUACUCCCAGGGAAUGAAAAAUUGGUUCUAGGUACUUUUGCUAGAACCAUCUUUGCCAUAGUCAACUUUGCUGCAAGCAUUUUCACCUUAUAACUAAUUCGCUGUAAGGCAAUUUUGCC
RNAcentral lists this long non-coding RNA (3227 nucleotides) under Phocoena sinus (vaquita). RNAcentral describes it as "lncRNA (ENSPSNG00000017648.1)". Lineage: Eukaryota; Metazoa; Chordata; Mammalia; Artiodactyla; Phocoenidae. The record is from RNAcentral.